RNAcentral lists this ribosomal RNA (301 nucleotides) under uncultured bacterium. RNAcentral's name for it is "partial 16S ribosomal RNA". It matches the Rfam family "Bacterial small subunit ribosomal RNA", at positions 509 to 807 of the family's 1533-position model. The record is from RNAcentral.
CAGUAGCCACGGUAAUACGUAGGGCGCAAGCGUUAUCCGGAAUUAUUGGGCGUAAAGAGCUCGUAGGCGGUUUGUCGCGUCUGCCGUGAAAGUCCGGGGCUCAACCCCGGAUCUGCGGUGGGUACGGGCAGACUAGAGUGAUGUAGGGGAGACUGGAAUUCCUGGUGUAGCGGUGAAAUGCGCAGAUAUCAGGAGGAACACCGAUGGCGAAGGCAGGUCUCUGGGCAUUAACUGACGCUGAGGAGCGAAAGCAUGGGGAGCGAACAGGAUUAGAUACCCGCGUAGUCCCUGUCUCUUAUAC